RNAcentral lists this ribosomal RNA (460 nucleotides) under uncultured bacterium. Its description in RNAcentral is "partial 16S ribosomal RNA". It matches the Rfam family "Bacterial small subunit ribosomal RNA", at positions 338 to 795 of the family's 1533-position model. The record is from RNAcentral.
CCUACGGGAGGCAGCAGUGAGGAAUAUUGGUCAAUGGGCGCAAGCCUGAACCAGCCAAGUAGCGUGAAGGUUGACUGCCCUACGGGUUGUAAACUUCUUUUAUAAAGGAAUAAAGUGAGGCACGUUUGCCUUUUUGUAUGUCCUUUAUGAAUAAGGAUCGGCUAACUCGGUGCCAGCAGCCGCGGUAAUACGGAGGAGCCGAGGGUUAUCCGGAUUUAUUGGGUUGAAAGGGAGCGUAGAUGGGUUGUUAAGUAGGUUGUGAAAGUUUGCGGCUCAAGCGUAAAAUUGCAAUUGAUACUGGCAGUCUUGAGUACAGAUGAGGUAGGCGGAAUUCGUGGUGUAGCGGUGAAAUGCUUAGAUAUCACGCAGAACUCCGAUUGCGAAGGCAGCUUACUAAACUGCCACUGACAUUGAUGCUCGAAAGUGUGGGUAUCAAACAGGAUUAGAUACCCGUGUAGUC